GACAGUGGCCUUUCCACAGCGCUAGACCAGGCCCCAAAGGGCCAGCGAGGGUCCGCGGGGUGCAGGACCAGGGAGCCACCUCUCUCUUCCGCAACCCGGCCUAGCCGAGGCUUGAGGGAGAGGGCGCUAAGUUCCCGGGGACCUAGGCCUGGGCAGGGGUAAGACCUGGAUGCCCAGACCGCUCCCCCGAGUCUCCUUCAGCCCCCCGGGGCGCUAUGCGGGAUAACGGCCGCCUUGCAGUCACCCUGCUGCGGAGGGAGCCCACGUCCAGCCAGCGACCCCGGGCCUCCUUCCCUGCCUCCUUCCACGUUCCCACCCCUGCCGAGAGCACCGCCCCAUUACUUGAUUAGGUCCCUGUAGUCCACGAAGGAUAAGAUGAGCAGCAGAGGGUCGGUGGGCAGCGACUCCAGGGUCAGCAGCCCCGUCUCGGCCUCUACGGCAGCCAUCUUGCCCGGCCCGCUGCAGCCUUGGCACCACCCCGGCCCCGCCCCCGCCCCCGCCGCCCGAACCGCUCGGCGGCCGCUAGCACAGGCUUCUAAACCUACUGGUCCCAGAGAAAGUUUCUUCCAACUACUUAAGUGUAAGAAAUAAUCAAAUGGGUUGUGUGGUGAGAGAGGCUUGGGAAAUCCAAAAGACGUCACAGGUCAGUCACUUACGUGGCUUGACUGUUCCAUGUUCCACUGGAUCCAUAACAGAGAAUCCGGAUGGCAAGCUGCAAAAAUUGGCAGGGGCCCUUCAGUGUGCUGUCGAUGUGUCUGGAAUUCAAAUAGUAGGAUGCAGAGAUGCCAUGACAAUGGGAAGCAAGCUUUACCUGGAGAAAAUGAUGCGGACAUGGCUGCUGCAACCCGUACUCACACACGGGGACCUUCGCAACCACUCUCCAGCGGUCCCCAUCAUGCCUGACUGCGAUUGCCCUUACUCAAGGGCAUUAAAUUAAAAAGUAAUGUAGCCGGUGAUUCUUUUUUUCCCCUAUCCUCCCCCCCCCUCCCCAUCCAGGCAGUGAAGAAUGGGGCAAGUAAAAUAAAAACCUUGACUGC
Molecule: long non-coding RNA, 1037 nt
Filed under: Mus musculus (house mouse)
Lineage: Eukaryota; Metazoa; Chordata; Mammalia; Rodentia; Muridae
Description: RIKEN cDNA 4931422A03 gene
Source: RNAcentral